This 212-nucleotide ribosomal RNA is filed under the name uncultured Desulfarculaceae bacterium. Its description in RNAcentral is "partial 16S ribosomal RNA". It matches the Rfam family "Bacterial small subunit ribosomal RNA", at positions 1168 to 1382 of the family's 1533-position model. Lineage: Bacteria; Pseudomonadati; Thermodesulfobacteriota; Desulfarculia; Desulfarculales; Desulfarculaceae. The record is from RNAcentral.
GGAAGUGGGAUGACGUCAAGUCCUCAUGGCCUUUAUACCCAGGGCUACACACGUGCUACAAUGGGCUGCACAAAGGGUCGCUAGCUCGCGAGAGUGCGCUAAUCCCAAAAGCAGUUCUCAGUUCGGAUUGGAGUCUGCAACUCGACUCCAUGAAGUUGGAAUCGCUAGUAAUCGUGGAUCAGCACGCCACGGUGAAUACGUUCCCGGGCCUU